GACGAACGCUGGCGGCGUGCUUAACACAUGCAAGUCGAACGGAAAGGCCCUGCUUUUGUGGGGUGCUCGAGUGGCGAACGGGUGAGUAACACGUGAGUAGCCUGCCCUUGACUUUGGGAUAACUUCAGGAAACUGGGGCUAAUACCGGAUAGGAGCUCCUGCUGCAUGGUGGGGGUUGGAAAGUUUCGGCGGUUGGGGAUGGACUCGCGGCUUAUCAGCUUGUUGGUUGGGUAGUGGCUUACCAAGGCUUUGACGGGUAGCCGGCCUGAGAGGGUGACCGGCCACAUUGGGACUGAGAUACGGCCCAGACUCCUACGGGAGGCAGCAGUGGGGAAUAUUGCACAAUGGGCGGAAGCCUGAUGCAGCAACGCCGCGUGCGGGAUGACGGCCUUCGGGUUGUAAACCGCUUUCGCCUGUGACGAAGCGUGAGUGACGGUAAUGGGUAAAGAAGCACCGGCUAACUACGUG
Molecule: ribosomal RNA, 468 nt
Filed under: uncultured bacterium
Lineage: Bacteria
Description: partial 16S ribosomal RNA
Rfam family: Bacterial small subunit ribosomal RNA
Source: RNAcentral